Amblyraja radiata (thorny skate) is the source of this 1610-nucleotide long non-coding RNA. RefSeq lists it as uncharacterized. The transcript is spliced from 3 exons. Lineage: Eukaryota; Metazoa; Chordata; Chondrichthyes; Rajiformes; Rajidae. The record is from RefSeq and is a predicted model, not a curated record.
CACAGACAGUGCGUCAGGAGGGUCUCGACCCGAAACACCGCCCAUUCCUUUUCUCCAGAGAUGCUGUCUGACCCGCUGAGAUACUCCAGCUUUUUGUGUCUAACCUCCACAGCACGUUUUUGUGUUUUACAGAAGCUUAUUAUUACUGCCUGAUGCCGUGUACGGUCGCGGUGUGAAGGAGCAGCUCUAUGCAUGUACGCUUGGGCCUUAGACGGUUAUAUAUGUGUGUUUUUAUAAUAUUCCUGCCCCAUCUCAACGUGGUGCUGCAGUACAGAAACUACACCAACCCGAGCAGGCGUUCACUCUCUCACGCCCGGCCUGCCUUCCGACUUGAUCAUUUUUGGGAGUCAGGAUUUUGACACCUCUGUUACUGAAUCCUUAAUGCCCCUGCCCAAGGGGACGGGAAGGAAGGGGGUGGGUGAGGAGACGAGGGGGUGGGGGGAUCUGCCACAGGGGGUUGUGACUAAGUCCAGUCAUUGUGGAAAUCUCUUCCACAUUUGCUCUCCCUCUCUAGAAGUGGCCUCCCUUCCUCCCACCGUCCUCUCCCCAUUGUGGCUACCCAGGUAUCCAAGGUGUGAGGUCUGCCUCCUUAUUCGCCAUUUUCCUUAUUCUAUAGAAGGAGGCCCUUCGGUCCAUCGAGUAACUGCAAGCUCGCGGCACGGUGCCGUUCCUUGCCCACAUCACCGCGUGCUGCCCCUGCUUCCAAAACCAUGAUGGUUUACAGCAGCAGCCCACCAACCCUUGUGUGUGUUUGGGAUGUGGGAGGAAAACAGAGCACCCAGGAAAAAACAAAUUGUUCAUAAAUUCAUACGUUCCAGGAGCAGAAUUAGGCCAUUCGACCCAUCAAGUCUACUCUGCCAUUCAAUCAUGGCUGAUCUAUCUCUCCCUCUCAACCCCAUUCUCCUGCCUUCUCCCCAUCACCCCUCACACCCGUGCUAAUCAAGAAUCUGUCUCCGCCUUAAAAAUAUCCACUGACUUGGCCUCUGCAGCAGUCUGUGGCAACGGGUUCCACAGAUUCACCACCCUCUGGCUAAAGAAAUUCCUCCUCAACUCCUUUCUAAAGGAACAGGGAGUACGUGCAAACUCCACGCAGACAGCCCUGAGGCCAGGGAUGAACUCGGGUCAUUGGAGUUUUGAGGCAGCGGCUCUGUUGCGCCAUGGUGUGGCCACAGAGGCCAAAAUAUAACCAUGUAUAUUGUGUGAUAGGCACUCCGAACCUCCCCCUGCCACUACUAGUCUCUCCCCACCACUCCCAGCCAGUCUCCGUCAUUCCACUCUGCUACAGGUUGCUCCUGGAUAUUCCCAGCUGCUCCCAUCCGUUCCCUCCCUGCUCCCAUCCUUUCCAGACCACUCCCGGUUGCUUCCCACCAAUCCCAGCAUCUCCUGAUUGCUCCUGGACAUCCCCAGUCACUGCCAGUUCCUUCCAUCUGCUCCUGAAUAGCCAACAGAGGUGAAUGCUGACCAUCCGUGGUCGCUGGGCUCUGUCUGGUAAGUGGAGAAAGCUUUGAAAGAUGAGAGUGUAAGAAAAUAACCCCAGAACCUGUGAGUAAUUCCCUGAUGUUUGGUGUCAUCGAGUUAGAGACACAGUGUGGAAACAGGCCCUUCGGCCC